Molecule: transfer RNA, 76 nt
Filed under: Rhizobium sp. CG4
Lineage: Bacteria; Pseudomonadati; Pseudomonadota; Alphaproteobacteria; Hyphomicrobiales; Rhizobiaceae
Also listed under: 5 other names
Description: tRNA-Trp
Rfam family: tRNA
About the family: Transfer RNA (tRNA) molecules are approximately 80 nucleotides in length.
Source: RNAcentral
AGGGGUAUAGCUCAGUUGGUAGAGCGGCGGUCUCCAAAACCGCAGGUCAUCGGUUCAAGCCCGGUUGCCCCUGCCA